GAUGAACGCUGGCGGCGUGCCUAAUUCAUGCAAGUCGAGCGAACGGACGAGAAGCUUGCUUCUCUGAUGUUAGCGGCGGACGGGUGAGUAACACGUGGAUAACCUACCUAUAAGACUGGGAUAACUUCGGGAAACCGGAGCUAAUACCGGAUAAUAUUUUGAACCGCAUGGUUCAAAAGUGAAAGACGGUCUUGCUGUCACUUAUAGAUGGAUCCGCGCUGCAUUAGCUAGUUGGUAAGGUAACGGCUUACCAAGGCAACGAUGCAUAGCCGACCUGAGAGGGGAAUCGGCCCCACUGGAACUGAGACACGGUCCAGACCCCUAGGGGAGGCAGCAGUAGGAAAUCUUCCGAAAGGGGGGAAAGCCGGACGGGGCAACGCCGGGGGAGUGAUGAAGGUCUGCGGUUCGUAAAACUCUUUUUUGAGGGAAGAAAAUAUGGUUAAGUAACUGUGCAAAUUUUGACGGUACCUAAGAAAAAAGCCAGGGCUAACUCCGG
RNAcentral lists this ribosomal RNA (496 nucleotides) under uncultured bacterium. RNAcentral describes it as "partial 16S ribosomal RNA". It matches the Rfam family "Bacterial small subunit ribosomal RNA", at positions 28 to 506 of the family's 1533-position model. The record is from RNAcentral.